AACGGGUUGUAGCUGUCCUUCGUAAGGAGGUACGUGCACGCCUUGCUCAUCCACUCUCAAACCCCUGUGCACUUUUUGUAGGCUUGGUGGGAUAGGCUGACUUCGGUCGGCUUUGAAUGCCUCGCCUAUGUAUUAAAACAAACGCUUCAGUUUAGAAUGUAACCUUGCAUAAUAAGCAAAUAAAUACAACUUUCAGCAACGGAUCUCUUGGCUCUCGCAUCGAUGAAGAACGCAGCGAAAUGCGAUAAGUAAUGUGAAUUGCAGAAUUCAGUGAAUCAUCGAAUCUUUGAACGCACCUUGCGCUCCUUGGUAUUCCGAGGAGCAUGCCUGUUUGAGUGUCAUGGUAUCAUCAACCUUCAACACUUUUGUGUCUGUAGGCUUGGACUUGGAGGUCGUGUCGGCGUUCGCGUCGGCUCCUCUGAAAUGCAUUAGCGUGAAUCUUACGAAUCGCCCUCGGUGUGAUAAUUUCUACGCCGUAGACGUGCAGUAUAUAGUGUUCGUGCUUACAACCGUCUGCAAAGACAACAUCAUUGACAAUCUGACCUCAAAUCAGGUAGGACUACCCGCUGAACUUAAGCAUAUCAAUAAGCGGAGGAAAAGAAACUAACAAGGAUUCCCCUAGUAACUGCGAGUGAAGCGGGAAAAGCUCAAAUUUAAAAUCUGGCGGUCUUCGAUCGUCCGAGUUGUAGUCUGGAGAAGCGUCUUCCGCGCUGGACCGUGUACAAGUCUCUUGGAACAGAGCGUCGUAGAGGGUGAGAAUCCCGUCUUUGACACGGACUAUCCAGUGCUUUGUGAUGCGCUCUCAAAGAGU
Molecule: ribosomal RNA, 811 nt
Filed under: fungal sp. MX34
Lineage: Eukaryota; Fungi
Description: eukaryotic LSU rRNA
Rfam family: Eukaryotic large subunit ribosomal RNA (bases 540-811)
Source: RNAcentral